This 433-nucleotide ribosomal RNA is filed under the name uncultured bacterium. Its description in RNAcentral is "partial 16S ribosomal RNA". It matches the Rfam family "Bacterial small subunit ribosomal RNA", at positions 29 to 507 of the family's 1533-position model. The record is from RNAcentral.
AACGAACGCUGGCGGCAUGCCUAACACAUGCAAGUCGAACGAGACCUUCGGGUCUAGUGGCGCACGGGUGCGUAACGCGUGGGAACCUGCCCUUAGGUUCGGAAUAACUCCCCGAAAGGUGUGCUAAUACCGGAUAAUGUCUUCGGACCAAAGAUUUAUCGCCUUUGGAUGGGCCCGCGUUGGAUUAGCUAGUUGGUAGGGUAAAAGCCUACCAAGGCGACGAUCCAUAGCUGGUCUGAGAGGAUGAUCAGCCGCACUGGGACUGAGACACGGCCCAGCCUGCUACGGGGGGCAGCAGUGGGGAAUAUUGGACGAUGGGCGAAAGCCUGAUCCAGCCAUGCCGCGGGAGUGGUGAAGGGCUUAGGGUUGUAAAGCUCUUUUACCCGGGAUGAUAAUGACAGUACCGGGAGAAUAAGCUCCGGCUAACUCCGUG